GAUGAACGCUGGCGGCGUGCCUAAUACAUGCAAGUCGAGCGAACGGACGAGAAGCUUGCUUCUCUGAUGUUAGCGGCGGACGGGUGAGUAACACGUGGAUAACCUACCUAUAAGACUGGGAUAACUUCGGGAAACCGGAGCUAAUACCGGAUGAUAUUUUGAACCGCAUGGUUCAAAAGUGAAAGACGGUCUUGCUGUCACUUAUAGAUGGAUCCGCGCUGCAUCAGCUAGUUGGUAAGGUAACGGCUUACCAAGGCAACGAUGCAUAGCCGACCUGAGAGGGUGAUCGGCCACACUGGAACUGAGACACGGUCCAGACUCCGACGGGAGGCAGCAGUAGGGAAUCUUCCGCAAGGGGCGAAAGCCUGACGGAGCAACGCCGCGUGAGGGAUGAAGGUCUUCGGAUCGUAAAACGCUGUUAUUAGGGAAGAACAUAUGUGUAAGUAACUGUGCACAUCUUGACGGUACCUAAUCAGAAAGCCACGGCUAACUACGUG
This 497-nucleotide ribosomal RNA is filed under the name uncultured bacterium. RNAcentral describes it as "partial 16S ribosomal RNA". It matches the Rfam family "Bacterial small subunit ribosomal RNA", at positions 28 to 507 of the family's 1533-position model. The record is from RNAcentral.